RNAcentral lists this long non-coding RNA (290 nucleotides) under Salvia miltiorrhiza (redroot sage). RNAcentral's name for it is "long non-coding RNA (SMIL_LNC010303)". Lineage: Eukaryota; Viridiplantae; Streptophyta; Magnoliopsida; Lamiales; Lamiaceae. The record is from RNAcentral.
UGCAUUGCACGAGAUGCAAAUGCUAGUAGCAUUUAAAAGUUAAAGUUCAAUUUAAAAUGCAAAUGCUAGUUGCACCUCGCCGCCGGUAAUAUAUUUAAGUAUAUAAAUUAAUUAAUAUUAAUAAUACCGGCGGCAGCGCUGUCGGUGAUCACCGGAGGCAUCCUUGCCACUGGUAUUUUCGCCGCUAUUUUGAAAAACACGGUCGUCCCCUCCAUCGUCGGUGGGCCGCCGGUAAUUUUGGUCGCAAAUUAUACAUUUUUUUGUAGUGGUAGUAUGAUAUUAUAUUAGGG